AGAGGAAGUAAAAGUCGUAACAAGGUUUCCGUAGGUGAACCUGCGGAAGGAUCAUUAUUGAAUUUUGAAUGGGGUUGUAGCUGGCCUUUCAAAGGGCAUGUGCACGCCUCGCUUCAAUCCACUUACCCCUGUGAACACUCUGUAGGUCGGCUCAAGGGACAAAUUCUUAACGGGGUUUGUUUUGGGCCUUCCUAUGUUUUAUUACAAACGUUUAAAGUCUAAAGAGUGUACUCGCGUCUAACGCAUUAUAUACAACUUUCAGCAACGGAUCUCUUGGCUCUCGCAUCGAUGAAGAACGCAGCGAAAUGCGAUAAGUAAUGUGAAUUGCAGAAUUCAGUGAAUCAUCGAAUCUUUGAACGCACCUUGCGCUCCUUGGUAUUCCGAGGAGCAUGCCUGUUUGAGUGUCAUGGAAUUAUCAACUUGUUUAUCUUUGUAUGAACGCAGUUGGAUUUGGAGGCCAUUGCCGGAUUGUAAUGACUCGGCUCCUCUUGAAUGCAUUAGCUCGAACCUUUGCGGAUCAGCUUUUGGUGUGAUAAUUGUCUACGCCGCUAACUGAGACGCAUGAAUGGGAUUGGCUUACAGUCGUCCUUGAACGGACAAUUUAUUAUGACUUCUGACCUCAAAUCAGGUAGGAUUACCCGCUGAACUUAAGCAUAUC
Molecule: ribosomal RNA, 658 nt
Filed under: Antrodia heteromorpha
Lineage: Eukaryota; Fungi; Basidiomycota; Agaricomycetes; Polyporales; Fomitopsidaceae
Description: eukaryotic LSU rRNA
Rfam family: 5.8S ribosomal RNA (bases 254-407)
Source: RNAcentral